Phyllopteryx taeniolatus (common seadragon) is the source of this 866-nucleotide long non-coding RNA. RefSeq lists it as uncharacterized. Lineage: Eukaryota; Metazoa; Chordata; Actinopteri; Syngnathiformes; Syngnathidae. The transcript is spliced from 3 exons. The record is from RefSeq and is a predicted model, not a curated record.
UCCACGCCGCCAAAACAUGUUUUUCACUGAGUUGGGGGGGGGGGACAUCAGCUUGUGAAUGAAGUUUAAAAUAGCGCCGUAUGUCGGCUGUUGCGUAAGCGCAGCGCGGGGAGGGCACGAGCGGCACAGCGCAGACGGCGCGCUCGAUACGACCAUCCCACCGCAGAGAGAUGGGCACAGCGUGUUCCAGAUACUCGCAAGUGAAUCAGCUCGGCAAAAUUGUUGCUGAGCAAGAAAACAAGACGAUGUGAAUAGAACUCGCCGGCUGGAAUGAAUUUCAACUAUACUCGCUAGUAAGCUAGUCAACAAUGAGAAGUACAAGUCAAGCGCACCAGGACACGUUGAGGCGAAUCGUUUGGACAAAGAACCAAAAAUGGUUUCGAGGACUCCAUUCAAGUCCAAUUUGUUGAGGGAAGGGAGUGACUCCAGACACUCCUUCUUACCAGCUUCAACAUCCACGGGCUUCCUCUGCACGUGGCGAAACAUCCGAACAGGCCGAAAACCACGAUGACGGUCCCGGUGCCGAUGAGCACGUAGGGGGCGUUGGUGGAGUUGUCGGCGAUGAGCGAGAUGUACGGGCCCAGCAUCAACUUGCCCCAGACGCCCACCGCCAGCAGGAUGGCGCCGGUGAUCUGCGGGGUGCGGAAGGAAGCGGCAGUGGAGCAAGCAAUGUUUCCCAACCUUUAUUGACCAUUUUUUGUCUGUACCAUUUUACAUUAAAAACAACAAAAGAAAUAAAAAACAACUCACAGCACAUCACCAAAGAAAUAUGUAACAAAAAGUAAGAAUACUGAAAUGACGAUCUUGUCGAUUUGCUCUUUUUGUGCUCAGGCCAAAGCAAUGAAAGCAAAAUUGUUUUUGCACUA